This 4046-nucleotide unclassified non-coding RNA is filed under the name Leishmania donovani. Its description in RNAcentral is "gene:LdHU3.29.0300(CDS-product:protein_transport_ protein_Sec24A_putative)". Lineage: Eukaryota; Euglenozoa; Kinetoplastea; Trypanosomatida; Trypanosomatidae. The record is from RNAcentral.
CUGGUGUAUUAGUUGCUCGACGUUGCUUGCCUUCGCAGUCGGCGAGUCUUUGGCGUUUGCGUCUUCGCUCGUUUCCUCCUCACCACCACCUCUUUGCCGUGCAGGCCCGCCGCAAGCGCACUGCCUCUCACAUCCUCACCUGCGCGUGACUCACAUAAGCCCAGGUUCGCCUAUCGGCGCUCACCCAGCGACCGUUCGUGCCCCCUCCCUCCCAACACCUCGGCCAGGCACGCGUACGCGCAGGCGUAUUCUUGAGGGGCGCACACAGACAUCCCCUAACCGACGUGCACCCCCUCUUUUUUUGAGAGAAUGAUGUACUCCGCCGGUGCUAUGUACGCGGAGAUCUACCGAAAUCAGGCGGCCGCCGCGGCCGCCAAGCCGAGGGAGGAGCCGGCCCCUCCCCAAAACCUCCACCACACCUUUGAGGACCCCAAUCAGUUUCACCCGGCCCCCGCCCUGGGGUACGGCCAACAACCACCGGUACCACCAUCCUCGCAUCCACCGCAGCAGCAAGGUGCGCCUGCGGGCUGCCCCCCUAUGGGGGGCAGCGGUCCCUACGGCCAGCAGCCGGCGCAGCCGUCGUUUGUGUCCUCGUACAGCCAGGCAAAUCCGUAUGGGAACGUCUACGCCGCGUCGCCGCCGCAGCAGGGCUACUCCUCGUACGCACCUCUUCCCCCUCCGCAGCAUCAACAGCAGCAGUACAACGCGCCGCCUCAGUUUCCGCAGCAACAGUAUGGCAACUAUGCCCAGCCGCCUGCGGCGUAUGGCCAUCAGCCACAGAUGCAUCAGUCGCCGCCGCCGCUGCAGCCGUACGGCAUGCCCGGCUACCCGCAGCAGCUGAACCCGGACUUUAUUCGCGUGACUCAGGUGCAGCUGCGCAAGAGCAGCAACAAACCCGGGGCCCUCUACGACCACCCGAGCGUGCCGCGUAUGAUGCCGCAGGACAUCGAAGAGGACCUUCAGCAGCGCAUGCCUGCGCCGGUGCACAUCACGCCAACCCACCGCCUCUGCAUUCGACCAACGAUGGGCACUUUCCCGCAGACGCAGCAGCUCGCGGACUCCCUCGGCCUCCCACUCGGCAUCAAUUUUCGUCCCUUUGCCGAGCCACGGCUGAACGAGGUGGACCUGUCGGACAAGGGCAACGCCAUGAUCCGCUGCAAGGCCUGCGGCGCCUACAUCAACCCCUUCACCACCUUCACCGAAGCCAACGACGGCUCGCGGUGGCAGUGCAUCUUGUGCAAGCACAUAAACGUGACGCCGCGCGCCUACUUCAGCCACGUCGACCCGCAGACUGGCCAGCUUGAGGACAUCAUGAGCCGCCCGGAGCUGCUAAACUGCAGUGUCGACUUCUACGCGACGCCGGAGUUCCUGAAGCGUCCGCCGCGCCGGCCCGUCUUCCUGCUGAUGCUGGACUGCUCUUUCUCUGCUGUGGCCUCGGGCCUGUUGGAGGCGAUGUGCCGCGGGGCCCUGACGGCUCUGGACUCCAUGAAGGAUGACGACGCACUGUACAUGGGCAUCAUGGGCUACGACACCACUGUUUACUUCUUCAACUUGCGCUCCUCCCUGCGCGCGCCGCGCAUGAUGGCGUCCCCGGACACGGUCAAGGAUAUCGCCAACGUGAACGACGACUUCAAGCUCGAGAAGGUCGAGCUCCCGUGCCCGACGGGCGACUUGGUGGUGUCUGUGAAGGAGUCGUAUCACCUCCUCCGCAUGGCGCUCGAGUCCAUUCCAAACGUGUUUGCUCCCACAAAGGAGGUCGGCUGCGCAUUCGGCCCCUCCUUGGCGGCGGCUGUGACUAUGCUGGAUGCGAACGGCGGCAAAAUUCUUGCCAGCAUCACGAGCAUCCCAUCGGAGGGGGAUGGCAAGCUGAAGCACCGCUUCGAUGCGGCGAAGCUGUCGAAUCAGCCGAAGGAGUACACGAUGUGUGCGGCGGCCAACGACUGGUACAAACAACGCGCACUGGCGUGCUCAAACAGUGCCAUCUCGGUCGACCUCUUCGUCGGUGCAAACAAGGACGUGGACUUGACGACGAUCGCCCCGCUCUCGCGCUUCACCUCCGGCUCUAUCCAUCGCGCAACGGCCGUGACCAUGAGCGGCCUGGCGGAUCAGGUGCAGCGGUCCUUGCUGCGCUUCACCGCCUUCGACUGCACGCUGCGGGUGCGCACGUCAAAGGGGCUCAUUGUGCCGAACUUCUAUGGCCACUGCCACGUGCGGGUGCCAGAUCUGCUGGUGCUGCCCAUUGCCGACGAGGACUCUUCUUACUCGAUCGAAUUCAAGAUGGGCCCCAACUACGCCGCCAAGUUCGCAUACGUGCAGUUUGCUGUCGUCUACACGACGCGCUCGCGGGAGCGCCGCAUUCGCGUGCACACGGUCCAGAUCCCGGUGUCUUCCACCAUUGGACCGGUCAUCAACUCGAUCAACUCCCUCGGCAUGUCGUGCUUUCUCUCGAAGAUGUGCGUCGACAUGGCCGUCAACGGACCCUUCUCGCAGGCGCAGGAAAAGAUAACCGAGAAGCUGACCACCGCGUGGAAGGCGGCCCUGAAACAAAUGGCGGCUCAGGGAGUGCGGCCGGGUGCUGGUGAGCUGCUCAUCCCGGAGAGCAUGCGUUUCAUUCCGCAACUGCUUUGUGGCUUCUUCCGGUGCGCGGCGACUGGCCUCGCGACGGUGCGCCCGCUGCCGCCGGACGAGCGCGUUGCUUCCAUGUCCUCGGUGAUGUCGUGCCCCAUCGAGGCGAUGGUGCCAUGGUAUGUGACGUGGACCUACGUUGUGUACGCGCCGGAGGAGGACGUCGACCAGCUGCCGGCCUCCAUCUUUUCAUCCGAGCAGUGCGUGCACCGCGAGGGCGUCUACCUCAUCAACGUCGGUGCCGUCAUCGUCUUGUGGUUCGGCAAGCACGUUCACCCGACCAUCUGCCAGCUGUUCGGGGUGGACCCCGGCGAGAUGACACCGGAAAAGGCGGAGAAGCAGGAGCAGCUCAGCGUGUCGCCAGAGCAACUGGCGGCUCUGCGGCAACGUGUCGAAGACCUCAUCUGGACGCAUCGCCAAAUCAACCGUAGUGUCUUUACCGCCGUCAUGGAGCCGUGCGCGCAAGGAAACGCCACGUACGAGCCGAUGAUGAAGCGCGGCAUGGGGGAGGACAACACGCGCAACCUAAUCGCCUACGGGUCCUACCUGCGCAAGGUGUGGGACGCUGUGAGCGUCGGCAAGUAGACUCCUCCUCAAGCACACAUCAUUCACGAGAGGUAGAAAGUCGCAUAUGAAACGCCCCGCUGUGGAAGCCGGAGGCGCGCAGAGCCGAAGCGUAGGCGGUGCGAACCCGCCUUGUCAGACGGCAACUGCGGAUGGGCAGUAUGUCGUAGAGUGUUGGGUGCUGGCUAAAUCGGCGUGGUGUGUCGGAUGUGCCGAUUCUCCGUUUCUUCUCGCGAUGGGCGCAUGACGUUUGUAGCGCACCGGUUCGUGUACCGGACGUCGGGCACGCGCCCAGGAGUGAGCCUUCUCCCCCUCUCUCACGGGUGCGUGCGUGUUUGUCUGUGUGUGAUGGAUGCGCUCGGGCACAUCUUUUCCUUUCUUUUUAUAUAUACAUACGCAGGCGUCUUGCCCUCUCUUCUUUCUUGUAUAUGGGCUUGUCCUGUGCUCUGAUUGGGGUGAGGGAGGGGAGGCACUUGUGCUACGGCGUACAGGCCCACUGGCGGACACACAUGCACAACGCACACGCUUGCAUGCUCGAAACGAUCCAUCCCCACGGAGGCACCAGCUCUGCGACAGGAGGCUGCGGAGUAAAUGUAACGUUGCGAGAGCAAGACAGUACAUCCAGGUGUUGCAUGUGGGGCUUGCUCACGAGAGAUGCGGACUAGCGUCUGCCUCUGAGCGCCUACGCACUGUUACCGUGCGGUGGCACGUGGUAGCCGAGCGGAGCUGCGGCUGCGUAGCAUCUGUGAUAGCGCCGUUGUCUUCACCUGACAGUCCCAUCGGUGAUGGUGUGCGUACGUCUCGUGCAGGGCUUGCGCACUUGCGCACGCCACCUGUUUGUUCUCUCUCACGUGCAC